RNAcentral lists this ribosomal RNA (540 nucleotides) under uncultured bacterium. RNAcentral's name for it is "bacterial SSU rRNA". It matches the Rfam family "Bacterial small subunit ribosomal RNA", at positions 34 to 581 of the family's 1533-position model. The record is from RNAcentral.
CGUGGGGGGGGUGCCUGACCAUGCCAGUCGAACGGGUGCUAACUGCCCGCAAGGGUGGUUAGCGCUAGUGGCGGACCUUUUGAGGAACACGNGGGCAACCUGCCUGAGAGNGCAGAACACCCUUGCGAAAGCAGAGCUAAUACUGCAUGUGGUUGUUGGAUGGCAUCGUCUGACAACUAAAGUCGCAAGACGCUCUCCCAUGGGCCCGCGGCCCAUUAGCUAGUUGGUGAGGUAACGGCCCACCAAGGCAAUGAUGGGUAGCUGGUCUGAGAGGACGGACAGCCACACUGGGACUGAGACACGGCCCAGACUCCUACGGGAGGCAGCAGUGAGGAAUUUUCCGCAAUGGGCGAAAGCCUGACGGAGCAACGCCGCGUGAGGGAUGAAGUCUCUAGGGAUGUAAACCUCUGUUGGGAGGGACGAAGAUCUGACGGUACCUCCUGAGGAAGCCCCGGCUAACUACGUGCCAGCAGCCGCGGUAAUACGUAGGGGGCGAGCGUUAUCCGGAUUUACUGGGUGUAAAGAGCGCGUAGGCGGUUC